AUAAAGGUAAGCUAAGAUAAAGCUAAUGGGUUCAUACCCCACAUAUAGGAACCAUUCCUCCUUUUUA
Molecule: transfer RNA, 67 nt
Filed under: Lipotactes tripyrga
Lineage: Eukaryota; Metazoa; Arthropoda; Insecta; Orthoptera; Tettigoniidae
Description: tRNA-Met
Source: RNAcentral